Molecule: small nuclear RNA, 165 nt
Organism: Erinaceus europaeus (western European hedgehog)
Lineage: Eukaryota; Metazoa; Chordata; Mammalia; Eulipotyphla; Erinaceidae
Gene: U1
Rfam family: U1 spliceosomal RNA
About the family: U1 is a small nuclear RNA (snRNA) component of the spliceosome (involved in pre-mRNA splicing). Its 5' end forms complementary base pairs with the 5' splice junction, thus defining the 5' donor site of an intron.
Source: Ensembl
AUACUUACCUGGCAGGGGAAAUAACCAUGAUUACGAAGGUGGUUUUCCCAGGGCGAGGCUUAUCCAUUGUACUCUAGAUGUGCUGACCCCUGCGAUUUCCCCAAAUGUGGGAAAUUGGACUGCAUAAUUUGUGGUAGUGGGGAACUGUGUUUGCGCUUUCCCCUG